This 495-nucleotide ribosomal RNA is filed under the name uncultured bacterium. Its description in RNAcentral is "partial 16S ribosomal RNA". It matches the Rfam family "Bacterial small subunit ribosomal RNA", at positions 28 to 507 of the family's 1533-position model. The record is from RNAcentral.
GACGAACGCUGGCGGCGUGCCUAAUACAUGCAAGUAGAACGCUGAAGGAGGAGCUUGCUUCUCUGGAUGAGUUGCGAACGGGUGAGUAACGCGUAGGUAACCUGCCUGGUAGCGGGGGAUAACUAUUGGAAACGUUAGCUAAUACCGCAUAAGAGUAGAUGUUGCAUGACAUUUGCUUAAAAGGUGCAAUUGCAUCACUACCAGAUGGACCUGCGUUGUAUUAGCUAGUUGGUGGGGUAACGGCUCACCAAGGCGACGAUACAUAGCCGACCUGAGAGGGGGAUCGGCCACACUGGGACUGAGACACGGCCCAGACUCCUACGGGAGGCAGCAGUAGGGAAUCUUCGGCAAUGGACGGAAGUCUGACCGAGCAACGCCGCGUGAGUGAAGAAGGUUUUCGGAUCGUAAAGCUCUGUUGUAAGAGAAGAACGAGUGUGAGAGUGGAAAGUUCACACUGUGACGGUAUCUUACCAGAAAGGGACGGCUAACUACGUG